UUACAAGUUGUGCAAUUGGAAUGACUACAAUUUAAAGAGUUUAAGGAGGAUCAAUUGGAGGGCAAGUCUGGUGCCAGCAGCCGCGGUAAUUCCAGCUCCAAUAGGAUAUAUCAAAUUUGUUGCGGUUAAAAAGCUCGUAGUUGGAUCUCGGUUUCACUCAGGUGGUACACCUUGCGGUGUUCACUAUCUGGGUGGACGUUUCUGUUGGUUCGCUCUUGGUGCUCUUCAUCGGGUGCCAUUUGGUGGCCAGCACGUUUACUUUAAAAAAAUUGGAGUGCUCAAAGCAGGCGUUACAGCCUGAACAUUAGUGCAUGGAAUAAUGGAAUAGGAUCUCGAUUCUAUUUCGUUGGCUUUCGGAGUCGAGGUAAUGAUUAAUAGGGACAGACGGGGGCAUUCGUACUGCGACGUUAGAGGUGAAAUUCUUGGAUCGUCGCAAGACGAACUACUGCGAAAGCAUUUGCCAAGAAUGUUUUCAUUAAUCAAGAACGAAAGUUAGAGGUUCGAAGGCGAUCAGAUACCGCCCUAGUUCUAACCAUAAACGAUGCCAACCGGCGAUCCGUCGUCGUUAAUUGAAUGACUCGACGGGCAGCCUCCGGGAAACCAGAGUGUUUGGGUUCCGGGGGAAGUAUGGUUGCAAAGCUGAAACUUAAAGGAAUUGACGGAAGGGCACCACCAGGAGUGGAGCCUGCGGCUUAAUUUGACUCAACACGGGAAAUCUCACCAGGCCCGGACACCGGAAGGAUUGACAGAUUGAGAGCUCUUUCUUGAUUCGGUGGGUGGUGGUGCAUGGCCGUUCUUAGUUGGUGGAGCGAUUUGUCUGGUUAAUUCCGAUAACGAACGAGACUCUGGCCUACUAACUAGAAGGUCUAUCCUUUAUGGGUAGGCCUCUGCUUCUUAGAGGGACGGGCGGCGUUUAGCCGCACGAGAAUGAGCAAUAACAGGUCUGUGAUGCCCUUAGAUGUUCUGGGCUGCACGCGCGCUACACUGAAGGAAUCAGCAUGUUCUCCCCUCCCUGAAAAGGGCGGGUAACCCGUUGAAACUCCUUCGUGAUGGGGAUUGGAGAUUGUAAUUAUUCUCCAUGAACGAGGAAUUCCCAGUAGGCGCGAGUCAUCAGCUUGCGUCGAUUACGUCCCUGCCCUUUGUACACACCGCCCGUCGCUACUACCGAUCGAGUGAUUUAGUGAGGACUUCGGACUGGUCUUCAAGUUGGCUUCGGUCGGCUCGAAGUUCCGGAAAGAUGCCCAAACUUGAUCACUUAGA
This 1260-nucleotide ribosomal RNA is filed under the name metagenome. Its description in RNAcentral is "SSU rRNA". It matches the Rfam family "Eukaryotic small subunit ribosomal RNA", at positions 494 to 1777 of the family's 1831-position model. The record is from RNAcentral.